Molecule: transfer RNA, 61 nt
Filed under: Ictidomys tridecemlineatus (thirteen-lined ground squirrel)
Lineage: Eukaryota; Metazoa; Chordata; Mammalia; Rodentia; Sciuridae
Also listed under: 2 other names
Description: Spermophilus tridecemlineatus (thirteen-lined ground squirrel) tRNA
Rfam family: tRNA
About the family: Transfer RNA (tRNA) molecules are approximately 80 nucleotides in length. Their secondary structure includes four short double-helical elements and three loops (D, anti-codon, and T loops).
Source: Rfam by way of RNAcentral
UGUGGCUCAGUGGUAGAGCACUUGCCUAGCAUGUAUGAGGCACUGGGUUCGAUUCUCAGCA